This 1732-nucleotide long non-coding RNA is filed under the name Nicotiana tabacum (common tobacco). RNAcentral describes it as "long non-coding RNA (NTAB_LNC005231)". The record is from RNAcentral. Lineage: Eukaryota; Viridiplantae; Streptophyta; Magnoliopsida; Solanales; Solanaceae.
UCAACCUAAUCUGUUAUUCUCAAAAAUAUUUUAAACUGCUCCACUCAUUUCCUUACUAAUUUUGGGCAGGUCAUCAUAACUGAAAACAUUUCUCAAGAUCAUCAAUAACUGUAUACCAAAGAUUCUACAUUGUUUGUCUGUCGUAAGUUAAAUCCUUGCCGGAAUUCACUGGUAUCAAGCAAAUAAGACGAAUGGAUUAAUCCACGCAUCAGAUUUCGUCAAGUAAAAACUGAAAACAAAAAGUAGCCACUAGAUGAGUUACUGCUACAAACCAUACAUGUUCUACCAAGCCACAAAGACAUUAAGAAAACUACACAAUUAAUCACUUGAAGAUCCAUCAUCAUCUUCAUGCUCUGCCACAACCUUCUCGAGGAAACUCUUUCGUACUCCAUCCAAAACAGCUUCUCUGGAUUGUUCAUGUUUUCUACGUCCAUCAUUUAGUACAGGAUCCGAUUGGCAGAGUGUUAGUGCAACACCUAAAACCGAAUAGAUGAAGAGCAAUCAUAUCAACUGACAAGCCAGCAAAUAGUAUUAAAAGAAGCAAAUUGCUACCAGAACAAUUUGAUAAAAGCAAACCUAAUACCUGAUAAAACACUAGAAAAGAAAACACUAAAACCAUGCACAAAGACGAAAAGUUGCUAUAGAAAUACAUGUGGAAAUAACUAGCCGAAAACGGUUAGAUGCAGCAGACAAAACCUUCCUGAAAACAGGGCAAGGUCCAAAAUUGUCUUAAAAGUGCAGGCAAACUUAGCAAGAGAACAGCUACCAACAUAACCAAGAAACUGAUGAAGAUUAAUAGUCAUGUCUAAUGUUGUGCACACCUCUGCUUUCAGCAAAUGUUUUAUAUAAGAGAAGAUAUAUGCCUUACAACAUUAAAAGGAAUUCAAGAGACACUCAACCUUUGUCUAAAUAUGAGUAGGCAAAAAGAGGUAACACGUGAAACUUUCCCAAAAGAAUGUCAGCACGUCAAGAACGUUUUGAACGUAAAUGGGCAUAUUUCCACCUACUACACUGACGCCAAAUAAAUGCAAGAUACCAGAAAGAAUACCACAUAUCAAUCAGCCAUGUUAGUAGCUUUAUGACUGCACCUUAUUAAUCUAUCACCCUAAGGACUCCAGUAAUCUCUACCCUUUCAUCUUUCUGUACAGUGCAUGCACAACUAUAUAAAGAAAUGAAGCUCUUCUUUCUCUUGCACACUUGUAAUAAUAAAAAUUAAGUCUCACUUCUCAGGACGAUGCCUAGUGCAAAGAGAUGAAACUAGCUAGUCAUGUGUAAAUGACAAAGUAACAGAAUACAUCAAGUAUAAAAUAGCUGGAAUGUGAAAAGUGUUAUAAAAUAUAACCCAAAAUAACAAUAAAAGUGAAGAAAAUAUGUCAUGGAAUAUGUCAUUGAACAUACAAAAUAUGUCAUUGAAUAUGUCAUUNAACAUUUGAGAUGAAGAUCAUGGAAGAAGAGUAGACAUCCACCAUAAUGUGAUAUUUAUCAUAACACUCCCCCUUGGAUGUCCAAAGAUAAUGUGCCUCGUUAAAAUCUUAUUAGGAAAAAAAACUCUAUGAAAAAAAAAUCCUAGUGAAGGAAAAAGAGUACACAUGUUUAGAAAUACGUCUUUUGGUUGUCUCGUUAAAAACCUGGCAAGGAAAACCCAGUGGGACAAAACCUUGUAAGGGAAAAAGAGUACAACGCGUAUUAACUCCCCCUGAUGAGAGCAUCAACUCACAUCCUUGAGUCUUCG